CACUCGAUAUUUCGUAGUUCGUUUGCCCGAUAUUCGCCGGGUUUGUUCAAGUACCAGAGGUUAGACGGUUGCCGCGUGACGAAGGGAACAAAUCGACCAGAGAAGCGAGAACAGUGAUGCGACCCACCCGGAUUGCGUGCGCACUGACGAUCGUGUUCGCCGGUCUCUUUGCAUCGAACUUCGCUUGCGCCCAACGCCCCGAGCGGGGCGGGUCGUCGCAC
Molecule: non-coding RNA, 221 nt
Filed under: Burkholderia gladioli
Lineage: Bacteria; Pseudomonadati; Pseudomonadota; Betaproteobacteria; Burkholderiales; Burkholderiaceae
Also listed under: 1 other name
Description: BTH_s19
Rfam family: Burkholderia sRNA 19
About the family: Cis-encoded, located in the 5'UTR of their cognate gene. Expression correlated with tight regulation of the gene transcript levels.
Source: RNAcentral